GCAACGGUCAACAUCAAAUUUAGGAACAAAAAAAAAUAAAUUUUUUUUUGACAAAAAUUUUUGGUGUAAAAUAUUUUUACAAACAUGCCACGUGUAGCAAAAAAUAAGGCCAAAAGCGAAGCUUCUGUGAAUUCCUCAUCAAAAGGAUUUAAGGAAAAACUGAAGAAGCGACUGAGCUUAGAACAAGAACUUUUAAAUGAUUUUGAAAAUGAAAGGGCGCACUAUCGUAAUGCUCGCCAGAAGAACGCCAAGAACUCGCAUCAACAAAAUAAGAAUACAUCGGUGAUUUCAACAACUUCAAUAGAAAUCGAAAUGAAACAAAUUGUGCAAGAAUGUACGAUAUUAAGUAAUUAUAUUAGUUCAAGUGAUGAAAUUUCAUUGAACAAUGCAUCUGAAUCAGAAUUAAAUGAAGUAAGUUUGAAAGAGCCCUUGAGUGCUGAAUCACUUUUAGGUACCCAAAGUGAAUGCCUGUUAAACGGUUGUUCCUGUUGUAAAUAUUCAAAGAAUAAAAGUAAAUCACUUCGUAACACUAUGAAGAAAAAGAAGGGUCCCUUUUGGAAAAGAUAAAAUCAUAUAUCAUGAUACCUCGACUACCUUAUGUCCAAUACAGUAAUAGUGAGAACUUGGUAAAUAUAUAGAAUAUUGAAUGAAUAAGGAUAUUUAUUCACAAUUACCAUCUAAUGAGAUAAUAUAUAAAUCACACUUUAUGAGAUCUUUUUUGUCAUUGGAGUAUCUUUGCUAUUUGAAGCCCGAUAUAUUGAAAUGUAAAUUAAAUAAAUGACAUGAUGGUAAUUAUUUACAAGUGCAAUGUAAGGUCUGAUGAUAUUUUUUUACAAUUUUAUCUAAUUAGAUAGUAUUUAUCAGAACUAAUUCUUCAUUGGAGGAUUCAUUGCUAUUUGGGACAAGAGGUACACAAUAGAAAUAUAAAUAGAGUAUGAGGCAUGAUGUUUACUUUGACCUAAGGACAUUAAGUAAAUUAAGAAACUAACUAAGCUAUCGUAAUACUGGACUAAAAAAGCAAAUUGGAGGUUUCGAAUAAAAAAACAGAGAAGACAACGAUGACCUUUGCACAUGAUUUGGGACCUAACAUGGUCAAUUAUUAAAAAAAAAAUAAACACGUUUGGCAUGUACACAUAUUUGUUAAUAGAAUUUAUAUUUGGAUCACUAAAAAGCAGAGACAAUAUUUGUAU
Teleopsis dalmanni is the source of this 1190-nucleotide long non-coding RNA. RefSeq lists it as uncharacterized. The record is from RefSeq and is a predicted model, not a curated record. Lineage: Eukaryota; Metazoa; Arthropoda; Insecta; Diptera; Diopsidae. The transcript has 4 exons.